ACCAUGUUGGCCAGGCUGGUCUAGAACUCCUGGCCUCGGGUGAUCCACCCGCCGAGACCUCCCAAAGUGCUGGGAUUACAGGCGUGAGCCACCGCGCCCCUCCAAUCAGUUGGAGAUGACUUAAACUUAGUUCCGAAGAAGCUCCCUUCCAUUUCUCUCACACUAACGGACAAUAAGGAGGCCUCGAGCUAGGCAGGCCAGGGCCCUACCCGAGCUGCUGGCAGGGUGCAAACCUCAGGAAAGUCAAGCCACCAAAAAACUGAGAGGAAAGCACAAGAAGACCGACCAGGUGUCACAGAGCAGAGAGGCCCAACCGCAAACCCUAGCACGUCCCGAGGAGGAGGGCGGGCAAGCGCGCCUUCUUAUUGGAUGGAGGUGGGCAGCGUGCUCCUACGCCCCACCCCAGAAGGCAAGCCCCCUGCGCGCGGGGCACGGCGGGAGUAAGAGUCUGCGGGACCUGCAGCUGUACUUCAUCUCCCGGCGGGCCGAGCGCUGAAGGCAGCGGCGCGGCGCGGCGCCUUUGUGGUAGCGGUGGCCCCGCGCGGAGGAAGUUCCGGUCUCCGCGACGCUGGUUCGGUGGCGGAGGCUGAGGAGAAGGAGGAGCGGGCCGUGGAGGCUUCGCCGCCUAGGUAGGGGCCCGGGACUGGAGAGAGGGCGUGCCAGAACCUGCGGGGGAAGAGCCUGCAGACGGGCCCACUCUAGACGUCGGAGGCCCGCGCGGCCUGAAAGCUGUGGCUUCGGUGUCUCGGGGCAGCUGCGGCCUCGCUCGGAAAGAAGACCAAGCUACGGUGAGGUACUGCUAUAACCAGAAUUUGGUAGAAAAAGGAUCUACUCGUUGGGGCCCACUUGAUAAAAAGAGAUGUGGGGGGAUUCUCGACCUGCUAACAGAACUGGACCUUUUCGGGAACUCUAAUGUUCCAGGACAAAGAAAUUACCCUCGAGUAUGUACCAAGCCUGGAUUUUUGGUACUGCAAACGAUGUAAGGCAAGUAUUGGUGGGCACCGAUCUUCCUGUUCAUUCUGCAAGAACCCAAGGGAAGGUGAGUGGCAAAAGUAGCAGCAGUUUUUAUCUUGUUCAUUGAGCAAAACAAAUUUCAUGUUUUCCUUGGCUUUGAAGAA
Molecule: long non-coding RNA, 1118 nt
Organism: Piliocolobus tephrosceles (Ugandan red Colobus)
Lineage: Eukaryota; Metazoa; Chordata; Mammalia; Primates; Cercopithecidae
Exons: 4
Source: RefSeq, a predicted model, not a curated record